UAAUGUCUGGGAAACUGCCUGAUGGAGGGGGAUAACUACUGGAAACGGUAGCUAAUACCGCAUAACGUCGCAAGACCAAAGAGGGGGACCUUCGGGCCUCUUGCCAUCGGAUGUGCCCAGAUGGGAUUAGCUAGUAGGUGGGGUAACGGCUCACCUAGGCGACGAUCCCUAGCUGGUCUGAGAGGAUGACCAGCCACACUGGAACUGAGACACGGUCCAGACUCCUACGGGAGGCAGCAGUGGGGAAUAUUGCACAAUGGGCGCAAGCCUGAUGCAGCCAUGCCGCGUGUAUGAAGAAGGCCUUCGGGUUGUAAAGUACUUUCAGCGGGGAGGAAGGGAGUAAAGUUAAUACCUUUGCUCAUUGACGUUACCCGCAGAAGAAGCACCGGCUAACUCCGUGCCAGCAGCCGCGGUAAUACGGAGGGUGCAAGCGUUAAUCGGAAUUACUGGGCGUAAAGCGCACGCAGGCGGUUUGUUAAGUCAGAUGUGAAAUCCCCGGGCUCAACCUGGGAACUGCAUCU
This 521-nucleotide ribosomal RNA is filed under the name Escherichia coli. RNAcentral describes it as "bacterial SSU rRNA". It matches the Rfam family "Bacterial small subunit ribosomal RNA", at positions 111 to 628 of the family's 1533-position model. The record is from RNAcentral. Lineage: Bacteria; Pseudomonadati; Pseudomonadota; Gammaproteobacteria; Enterobacterales; Enterobacteriaceae.